AUUUAAAUAGCUUAAUUUAGAGCACAGUGUUGAAGAUACUGGGGAAAUAAAUCAUUAUUUUUAAAUA
RNAcentral lists this transfer RNA (67 nucleotides) under Curculionidae sp. 1 AH-2016. RNAcentral describes it as "tRNA-Phe". Lineage: Eukaryota; Metazoa; Arthropoda; Insecta; Coleoptera; Curculionidae. The record is from RNAcentral.